This 497-nucleotide ribosomal RNA is filed under the name uncultured bacterium. RNAcentral's name for it is "partial 16S ribosomal RNA". It matches the Rfam family "Bacterial small subunit ribosomal RNA", at positions 28 to 507 of the family's 1533-position model. The record is from RNAcentral.
GAUGAACGCUGGCGGCGGGCCUAAUACAUGCAAGUCGAGCGAACGGACGAUAAGCUUGCGUCUCUGAUGUUAGCGGCGGACGGGUGAGUAAGACGUGGAUAACCUACCUAUAAGACUGGGAUAACUUCGGGAAACCGGAGCUAAUACCGGAUAAUAUUUUGAACCGCAUGGUUCAAGAGUGAAAGACGGUCUUGCUGUCACUUAUAGAUGGAUCCGCGCUGCAUUAGCUAGUUGGUAAGGUAACGGCUUACCAAGGCAACGAUGCAUAGCUGACCUGAGAGGGUGAUCGGCCACACUGGAACUGAGACACGGUCCAGACUCCUACGGGAGGCAGCAGUAGGGAAUCUUCCGCAAUGGGCGAAAGCCUGACGGAGCAACGCCGCGUGAGUGAUGAAGGUCUUCGGAUCGUAAAACUCUGUUAUUAGGGAAGAACAUAUGUGUAAGUAACUGUGCACAUCUUGACGGUACCUAAUCAGAAAGCCCCGGCUAACUACGUG